AUACGGAGGAUGCGAGCGUUAUCCGGAUUUAUUGGGUCUAAAGGGAGCGUAGGCGGGAGCUUAAGUCAGCGGUUAAAUGGUGCGGCUCAACCGUGCCCUGCCGUUGAAACUGGGUUUCUUGAGAGUGCAAGAGGCGGAUGGAAUUCAUGGUGUAGCGGUGAAAUGCUUAGAUAUCAUGAAGAACUCCGAUUGCGAAGGCAGUCCGCUGGGGCACGUCUGACGCUGAUGCUCGAAGGUGCGGGAAUCAAACAGGAUUAGAUACCCUGGUAGUCCGCACGGUAAACGAUGAUUACCCGCUGUCGGCGGUAGACAGUCGGCGGCCAAGCGAAAGCGAUAAGUAAUCCACCUGGGGAGUACGCCGGCAACGGUGAAACUCAAAUGAAUUGGCGGGG
RNAcentral lists this ribosomal RNA (392 nucleotides) under uncultured bacterium. Its description in RNAcentral is "partial 16S ribosomal RNA". It matches the Rfam family "Bacterial small subunit ribosomal RNA", at positions 523 to 918 of the family's 1533-position model. The record is from RNAcentral.